ACCCUGCUCUCAUUACUGUCAUGGAAUCAUUAAACCCUGCCCUCAUUAUUGUCAUGUAAUCAGUAAACCCUGCUCUCAUUAUUGUCAUGUAAUCAGUAAACCCUGCCCUCAUUAUUGUCAUGUAAUCAGUAAACCCUGCCCUCAUUAUUGUCAUGUAAUCAGUAAACCCUGCCCUCAUUAUUGUCAUGUAAUCAGUAAACCCUGCUCUCAGUCUGUCAUGGAAUCAGUAAACCCUGCUCUCAUAUCUGUCAUGGAAUCAGUUAACCCUGCUCUCAUUACUGUCAGGAAAUCAGUAAACCCUGCUCUCAUUACUGUCAGGAAAUCAGUUAACCCUGCUCUCAUAUCUGUCAUGGAAUCAGUAAACCCUGCUAUCAAUGUGUCAGGAAAUCAGUAAACCCUGCACUAAAAUUAACAAAAAAUAUGUUGCCUAGAUUUGGUCAUUUAAUUCAUGAUUGGUCUUUUGCUGUUCUUACAGAAUAACUGCCGAAUUUACGAACGCUCAACACCCACUGAAUAUGGCCGGUGUCGGUAAACGUUGGCAAAAAAAGCGUAAUUAAAUUGUUGCCAGCAGCACAGUUGCAUGAAAACAGCCUAACCAGCUCUGCUAGACUGAGUAAACUGGUCAGAGUGAGGUGUUCUCUCAUUGUGUGUCUGGAAGUAACUCGCAAGCUAGCCAACGUUAGCCAGUUAGCUUGGGUGCUUGACUGCUGUUGUAAGGGCAGAAUGCUCAAAUCAUCACUUCUCCUCGACCAGUGUGGCGCGCUGAACGCUCCGAGGGCGUAACACUCUGAAUUUAUGAAGGGACAAUCUGACAACGCUCUGAGUUUAUGAAUGCCCAGAAAACACUCUGGCACUCCAGAUAAAAUUUAUGAACACACCCGUUGUAUAAACCAGUCUUUAGUCUUGAAAUCUUUGGUUGUUUAGUACAUGGCCUCACAUGUGAAUCCUUAAAGAGAUGGGUGGGGCUAAAGUUUAAUUGUUGUUUUUUAAGUUGUAAAAUUCAAACUAGAUAAAGUAGUAGGUUCUAAUCUGUUUGGAGAAGGGGAUUGUAAAUACAGAUUGUUUUAGAUGAUUUUUACUUUUGCAUGCUGGAGACAAAUGUGAAACCAGCCAUGGAAGCAAACUGAAAACUCAAGGCUACCAACAAGUGCCCCUUUCACAAGUAUGGAAUGCUGUGACCAUAUGGAAUGCUGUGACCUUAUGGAAUGCUGUGACCUUACGGAAUGCUGUGACCUUACGGAAUGCUGUGACCUUACGGAAUGCUGUGACCUUACGGAAUGCUGUGACCUUACGGAAUGCUGUGACCUUAUGCAUCAUUUUAACUGUAUGGCCUUUUAACUUGCAGUGAUGAAAGUUGGAGAUGAAAGUUAAAUAGGUAGUCUACUGCAGCCUGGAGCACGUGGCCACUGUGUGACAAUAAUGCUAGUACAAACCCAGGCGCAGCGAAACACAGCAGGCAGGGGUAAAUCCAGAACAUUUACUGAGGUCUUCACAGAACAAAGGAAAGGACACCUGCACAGUAAUCAAAACAUGAGACCUAAGCAAAGAGAUCUGCCCACAGAGGAACCUAAAUAGCCAGUCAACAGGUGAACCGAGAGGGCAAUCAACACACAGGUGAAACCAAUGAUAACAAUCAGGGAAACCUGGACAC
Molecule: long non-coding RNA, 1651 nt
Organism: Oncorhynchus tshawytscha (Chinook salmon)
Lineage: Eukaryota; Metazoa; Chordata; Actinopteri; Salmoniformes; Salmonidae
Source: Ensembl